Acanthosepion pharaonis is the source of this 92-nucleotide non-coding RNA. The record is from the annotation of a GenBank genome assembly. NCBI's taxonomy places the organism in Eukaryota, Metazoa, Mollusca, Cephalopoda, Sepiida, Sepiidae.
GUUGAAACAUCAGUUCCUAUAUGAUCAUUGAAGUUAAGCAACAUCAAGCCUGGUCAGUACCUCGAUGGGUGACAGCUUGGGAAUGCCAGUUG